AAAAAAAAAGGAAGGACCUUCAUGAGUACCAAAUAUUCACUUGGGCUCAGAUGCAAAACUCAGCUCUUUCUCCACAAGCACCCCCCUCCUUUGGGGGGAAGCUGUGUUCCCUGACACUGUGGGAUGAGCUCCUCCCUCUGCCGGCAGUAUUUCCUCUCUGGGGGACCUCUGGGGAGGUGGCCUUGCAGUUGGGCACACCUGGCUUGAAUCCCAGCGGCACCACCUUCAAGCUUCCUGGCUUUGCCACACCUCUCUGAGCCUCGGUUUUCUCAUCUGUGCCACGGAAUUCAGAGAGGCCCCAGUCUCACUCGGCUGAGGCUCAGGGCCAGUUGCCUUUUCCUGGCCCCACAGAUGUAUGGUCAGUUUGGGGGUAUGCCCCCAUCCCUGCUCUGGGCUUUGCCUAAGACAGGCUGUGGGCAGCCCUCAGAGGCGCCAGCUUGGCCACACCUGGCUGGAAUCAGCGGGUGGGUGGGAGCACACAGCAGGGACCCAGUGCCUUCUAGAACACAGCUAGCAGUUCCCGUGAAAAUCAAAACACCCCAUUUUACAGGUAAGGAGGCUCUGGGAGGAGUGGCUUGCCACACCAUGCAGAUAUAAAGAGGGAUAUUCACCAAGAAAAACAUACCAAUAACACCAAGGGCCCUCCUACACAUUGUUCUACCACUAUUUAUUGAGCACUUACUACAUGCCAGGCAAUGAGCCAAGUGCUUUACAAGGCUGACCUAUUUCAAUCCAACAACAUACCGAAGAGGGAGGCAUAUUGAUCCUCCUUUUACAGGAAACAGUGAGGUUGAUGCAUUUGUCCAAGAUCACACAGCUCUUGGGGAGUGGAGCCUGACUUUGAAUUUAGGCAGCCUGCCCCCAGAGCUUGUGUUCUUGGCCAUCCUUCGCACCUGGCUUAGAGACCCAGGCUCUGCAUAGAGGGGCGCAGUGAUCUUGGGUCAGUCCCUUAAGCCCCAGAGUAGCAAAAGGGAAAGGAAAUAUCUUCAGCACCCAGUGAGGGGGAGCUCAGAGAGGGGACCCCUUUUACUCCAGGGCACACAGCCGGCUGAGCCAGGACCCACCACACUCAACUCCCCGGCCCCUGGCUCCCAGGAGGUGGCUCCUCCAUGGCCGGGAAGGACCCCCACGGCUGCUCCCGCAGGCAGAUGGACAGACGAUGGCCCCCUCCCACGGCCUGCGGGCUGUGUGGCAUCGCCACCUCCUCCCGAGCAGGCUGCCUUUAAGAAACCAGAAGAUUGAUUUCCUGGCAGGCUCUACGCCGAGGAGCCCGUCCAAAUGGUUUGCAUGUCUGCAUUUUUUACUGCUCCGUUUAAUAUGUAUGCAAAUGCCGGCCGGCUGCGCCCGCCGCGCGGCUGCACAGUCACACGCGGCGCCCCAUUAAAGCGGCCGUCCCGGGCGCGCGCCUCAUUCGAGGCGACGGGCUCCGGGCCCUGAUAGAUGGGGUGCGGGGACGGAGACAAAUGACGGCCUUUGGGCUCGGAAUACCCACCUUUCUGGUAAUGCAGCCCAGCGGGUCCCAGCCUCGUUUUCCAGCCCUCACUCAAAAUGGAGUCGCUCUGGUUCGAACGCCUCUGACAAGUGUGUACCUACGUGUCAGGGUGAGUAUGGGGCUGUAUGUACACACGUGUCACUGUGUACACGUGUCAGUGCGCAUGUGUGAAUGUGUGUCGUCCUUGGCUGGCAGGCAGCUGGAGUGUGAAUUUCCCUGAGGGUUUCCACUUCCCUGUGGUUCAGGCUGGGGCCCUCUGCGCUCUCCCCUGGCCCCAGAGCUGCUCCACUAGGCAGGGAAAGCCUCUGGAAUGAGGGAACAGGAUAUGGCUCCAUGAGGCCCCCACAAGCCAGAGGCACCCCUGAGCUUUGCAUAGAUGGGAAGGACUUGGAUUGCUGGGGCCGGGCUGGAGCCUGGGAAUCCUGAGCCGGAAGUGAGGGGUGCAUACAGCUGUCUAGAGAAGCCCUCUGCGUGUGCGUGUGUGUGCCCCUCCAGAUCUGUGCAUGUUGAGUCACUCGGGGAAGUGGCUCUCCUCAUGUAAAAUGUCUUCAGGAUGAAGGCAGGUCCUUCUGGUGUCUGGACUUGAGCUUCUCUGGGGGCAGAACCUGGGCUCUGGGGGCUGCUAUUUGGGAAUCACCCUCCUUGCUGCCCCCUGGGCCAGUGCCCUGAGGACACUGGAGGGGUCCUUGAGCCCUAGUGGGGGGUAGGGUGUGUGUGUGUGUGUGUGUGAGAGAGAGCCAGAGAGAGUGUGAGCAGGGGUGUAUGUAAAUGUGUGUGAGGAUGUGUAUAUGUGCAUUAGUGUGUGUGAGUUGUGUAUGUGUGAGGUUGUGUUGGGGGUGAGGGUGUGGGCGUGUGAGUUGGUGUGUGAGUUGGUGUGUGUGAGUUGUGAGGUUGCGUUGGGAGUAAGGGUGUGUGCGUGUGAGUUGGUGUGUGAGUUGUGUAUGUGUGAGGUUGUGUUGGGUGGGGGCGAGGGUGUGUGGAUGGGUCUGUGAGUUGUGUAUGAGGGAGGAUGUGUGCAUGGGAGUUGGUGUGUGUGAGUGAGGGUGUGUGAGGGUGUGUGUGAAAGUGUGUGGGUGUGAGUUGGUGUGUGUGUUGUAUAUGUGUGAGGUUGUGUUGGGGUGAGGGUGUGUGUGUGAGUUGGUGUGUGUUGUGUAUGUGUAAGGGUGUGUGUGAGUUGGUGUGUAUUUGUUUGUGUUGGUGUGCAUGCGAGUUGGUGUGUGAGUUGGCGUGUUAGUGUGAGUUGUGUAUGUGUGAGUUGGUGUGUGUGUUGGUGUGAGUGACUUGUGUAUGUGUGAGUUGGUAUGCGUGUGAGUUGGUGUGUGUGAGUCGAUGUGUAAGUUGGUGUGUAUGCGAGUUGAUGUGAGUUGUGUAUGUGUGAGUUGGUGUGUAUGAGUUGGUGUGUGAGUUGUGUAUGUGUGAGUUGGUAUGAGUUGGUGUGUGAGUUGUAUAUGUGUGAAUUGGUGUGUAUGAGUUGGUGUGUGAGUUGUGUAUGUGUGAGUUGGUAUGAGUUGGUGUGUGAGUUGUGUAUGUGUGAGUUGGUGUGUAUGAGUUGGUGUGUAUGUGAGUUGGUGUGUAAGUGACUUGUGUAUGUGUGUGUAUUGGUGUACAUGUGAGUUGAGUUGGUGUGAGUUGUCAUGUGAGUUGGUGUGAAUUAUGUAUGUGUGAGUUGGUGUGUGAGUUGUGUAUGUGUGAGUUGGUGUGCAUGCGAGUUGGUGUGUGUGUGAGUUCGUGUGUGAGUUGGCAUGUGAGUUGGCACAUAUGUGAGUUGGUGUGUGAGUUGUGUAUGUGUGAGCGCAUAUGUGAGUUGGUGUGUGAGUUGGCAUGUGAGUUGGUGUGAGUUAUGUAUGUGUGAGUUGGUGUGCGAGUUGUGUAUGUGUGAGUUGGUGUGCGUGUGAGUUGGUGUGUGUGUGAGUUCGUGUGUGAGUUGGCAUGUGAGUUGGUGUGAGUUAUGUAUGUGUGAGUUGGUGUGCGAGUUGUGUAUGUGUGAGUUGGUGUGCAUGUGAGUUGGUGUGUGUGUGAGUUCGUGUGUGAGUUGGCAUGUGAGUUGGUGUGAGUUAUGUAUGUGUGAGUUGGUGUGUGAGUUGUGUAUAUGUGAGUUGGUGUGUGUGUGAGUCCGUGUGUGAGUUGGCAUGUGAGUUGGCACAUAUGUGAGUUGGUGUGUGAGUUGUGUAUGUGUGAGCGCAUAUGUGAGUUGGUGUGUGAGUUGUGUAUGUGUGUGUUGAUGUGUAUGUGAGUUGGUGUGCGUGUGAGUUGUGUGCGUGUGAGUUGGUGUGUGAGUUGUGUAUGUGUGAAUUGGUGUGUGUGUGUGUGAGGGAGGGUGUGUUUGUGGACAGAUGUGUGUGCGCCUGGAUGUGCCGGACCGGUUGGGGGGGCGGAUGGACCGAGGCUCCGCGACAGGCAUUUCCGAGCUCCCCUGGCAGAUCUGGCUUAGGAGGAGCUGCAGGGACCAGCGCUGAGGGCCCUUCUGGCUGCCCUGGUCCAGGCCUUGGUGUCUUCCUGGUCUCAUCUCUCUCUAGUCUCUGCAGUCGCCUGGGCUCUCCAGUCCCACAGGGGGCUCUCCCUUGGAAACCCGUGGGGAAUGUCACCCGUGGGGAAUGUCUCUGCCCACCCAAGCCUCCCCGGGGAACGGCAGAUAGGAUGGCCCCUCAGGCCGGCACCUCCCAGAACUCACGUCCCCACAGUGGCCCUGGGGUCCCCUCUGGCCUCACGCCCGCUCCUCUUCCUCUCUUUCAAGAUUUGCCAGGUGCUGGGCCCCAGAAGCCAGCCCUCCUGACGUGUGGCGGCCGUCCUCACUGCUCCCUCCUUCCCUGCAGCAUUCCCCAGCCCCCGGCCCACCCUCCUCCCACCCGCUUCCUGACCCAGGCUCCCGGGCCUUCCCCUCGCGGCCACCUAGCUGUGUGCUUUGUUUGGCUGCUGUCACCCCCAGGAAGGUGAUCCCCGUGAGAACCCAAAUAGCAGGUGCUCGUCUGGGACCCCCGCCUCCAGCCCCAGGGGAGGUUUCCUGGUCCUCACUGUGGCCAGGGCAUGGCUCCUUCACCCCGGGGCUCACCCUCGGUGUCCGUGAAGUCCAGCCGACGGUGACCCUAAGUCCUCCCUCCACUCGCCUAUGUUUGGGGAUAGCCUGUCCUUCCUGCAGGCCUUUGUCUUGGUGUCACCCUGAGCUGGCCCCAACCACAGUAGCGACAGUGAUGCUGAUGUGUGACUGCUGCCUGGAGCCUGCUCACAUGACCGUGUGGAGAAAGGUCUUUCCCUGAGGACCAUCUGGAGUGGACGCAUGCACUACUCCUCUCUGAAUACACCCUCCCCACGAGGCCCUCUGGAGCAUCCUGUAGAGCCAGCCCCUACCCAGAGACCCUGAGCCCAGAGAAUGCGCUGGGUGGUGAGCCUGGGGACGAAUGCAGAGCCCUAGGUCUCCUCUCCAGAACGUAGCAUCGUGGUAAGAACACCCGCCCUGACAUCACACAGACCUGCAUCCACGUCCCAGCUGAGCCUCAGUUCUCACAUCUGCAAAAUGGGGAGAACAACAGCAGCAGCGUCCUGAGGCUGGGGUGAGGACCGAGUGAAAAACCUUUGUCGCAUCUUUGGGCACCGUAGGAGUUCAAUAAAUGUUAGCUAUUGUUGUCACUUUGUAUUAUCC
Long non-coding RNA from Gorilla gorilla gorilla (western lowland gorilla), 5129 nucleotides. RefSeq lists it as uncharacterized. NCBI's taxonomy places the organism in Eukaryota, Metazoa, Chordata, Mammalia, Primates, Hominidae. The record is from RefSeq and is a predicted model, not a curated record. The transcript has 3 exons.